This 458-nucleotide ribosomal RNA is filed under the name uncultured Rhodocyclaceae bacterium. RNAcentral describes it as "bacterial SSU rRNA". It matches the Rfam family "Bacterial small subunit ribosomal RNA", at positions 925 to 1382 of the family's 1533-position model. The record is from RNAcentral. Lineage: Bacteria; Pseudomonadati; Pseudomonadota; Betaproteobacteria; Rhodocyclales; Rhodocyclaceae.
ACAAGCGGUGGAUGAUGUGGAUUAAUUCGAUGCAACGCGAAAACCUUACCUACCCUUGACAUGUCCGGAAUCCCGAAGAGAUUUGGGAGUGCUCGCAAGAGAACCGGAACACAGGUGCUGCAUGGCUGUCGUCAGCUCGUGUCGUGAGAUGUUGGGUUAAGUCCCGCAACGAGCGCAACCCUUGUCAUUAGUUGCCAUCAUUUGGUUGGGCACUCUAAUGAGACUGCCGGUGACAAACCCGGAGGAAGGUGGGGAUGACGUCAAGUCCUCAUGGCCCUUAUGGGUAGGGCUUCACACGUCAUACAAUGGUCGGUACAGAGGGUUGCCAACCCGCGAGGGGGAGCUAAUCCCACAAAGCCGAUCGUAGUCCGGAUCGCAGUCUGCAACUCGACUGCGUGAAGUCGGAAUCGCUAGUAAUCGUGGAUCAGCAUGUCACGGUGAAUACGUUCCCGGGUCUU